GACGAACGCUGGCGGCGUGCUUAAUACAUGCAAGUCGAACGGAAAGGCCCGGCUUUUGUGGGGUGCUCGAGUGGCGAACGGGGGAGUAACACGCGAGUAACCUGCCCUUGACUGUGGGAUAACUCCAGGAAACUGGGGCUAAUACCGGGGAGGAGCUCCUGCUGCACGGGGGGGGUUGGAAAGAUUCGGCGGUUGGGGAUGGACUCGCGGGUUAUCCGCUUGUUGGUGGGGUAGUGGCGUACCAAGGCUUUGACGGGUAGCAGGCCUGGGAGGGUGACCGGCCACAUUGGGCCUGCGAUACGGCCCAGACUCCUACGGGAGGCAGCAGUGGGGAAUAUUGCACAAUGGGCGGAAGCCAGAUACAGCAACGCCGCGUGCGGGAUGACGGCCUUCGGGUUGUAAACCGCUUUCGCCUGUGACGAAGCGUGAGUGACGGUAAUGGGUAAAAAAGCACCGGCUAACUACGUG
This 468-nucleotide ribosomal RNA is filed under the name uncultured bacterium. RNAcentral's name for it is "partial 16S ribosomal RNA". It matches the Rfam family "Bacterial small subunit ribosomal RNA", at positions 28 to 507 of the family's 1533-position model. The record is from RNAcentral.